Molecule: ribosomal RNA, 467 nt
Filed under: uncultured bacterium
Lineage: Bacteria
Description: partial 16S ribosomal RNA
Rfam family: Bacterial small subunit ribosomal RNA
Source: RNAcentral
GACGAACGCUGGCGGCGUGCUUAACACAUGCAAGUCGAACGGAAAGUCCCUGCUUUUGUGGGGUGCGCGACUUGCGAACGGGUGAGUAACACGUGAGUUACCUGCCCUUGACUGUGGGAUAAGUUAAUGAAACUUGGGCUAAUACCGGAUAGGAUCUCCUGAUGCAUGGUGGGGGUUGGAAAGUUUCGGCGGUUGGGGAUGGACUCGCAGUGGAUCAGCUUGUUGAUGGGGUGGUGUCUUACCAAGUUUUUGACGGGUAGCCGGCCUGAGAGGGUGAACGGCCACGUUGGCACUGAGAUAGAGCCCACACAGAUACGGAGGCAGCGGUGGGGAAUAUUGCAUAAUGGGAGGAGGCCUGAUGCAGCACAGCAGCGUGCGGGAUGACGGCAUUCGGUUUGUAACCCGCUUCCGCCUGUGCCGAAGCGUGAGUGACGGUAAUGGGUAAAUAAGCACCGGCUAACUACGUG